Molecule: ribosomal RNA, 467 nt
Filed under: uncultured bacterium
Lineage: Bacteria
Description: bacterial SSU rRNA
Rfam family: Bacterial small subunit ribosomal RNA
Source: RNAcentral
GUCCAGACUCCUACGGGAGGCAGCAGUGAGGAAUAUUGGUCAAUGGUCGGGAGACUGAACCAGCCAAGCCGCGUGAGGGAUGAAGGUACAGAGUAUCGUAAACCUCUUUUGUCAGGGAACAAAGGCGGGGACGUGUCCCCGGAUGAGUGUACCUGAAGAAAAAGCAUCGGCUAACUCCGUGCCAGCAGCCGCGGUAAUACGGAGGAUGCGAGCGUUAUCCGGAUUUAUUGGGUUUAAAGGGUGCGCAGGCGGCGUGUCAAGUCAGCGGUAAAAUGUCGGGGCUCAACCCCGGCCGGCCGUUGAAACUGGCAGUCUCGAGUUGGAGAGAAGUAUGCGGAAUGCGCGGUGUAGCGGUGAAAUGCAUAGAUAUCGCGCAGAACUCCGAUUGCGAAGGCAGCAUACCGGCGCCACACUGACGCUGAGGCACGAAAGCGUGGGUAUCGAACAGGAUUAGAUACCCGAGUAAU